AUAAAGACCGUGGAAGUCCCAGUUUCUUUUCCUCUCACAUCGUCACUGUCCUUGUGGUUUCACCUGUGGUGCUGAUGGCUGCAGUACUUCCCUGGUUGAUCUGGUGUCUCUUGAGAACCAAAGACACUCAACAGCGACAACCAGAACCAAGCCCUAACCCCACAGUACAAGAAACAAUUGAGGCAACCAACACUAUCCCUGCACCCCCUCUGGUCUACAGCGUCCUGGACUUCCCCAAAAGACCUUCGGCA
Non-coding RNA from Epinephelus lanceolatus (giant grouper), 251 nucleotides. The record is from RefSeq and is a predicted model, not a curated record. NCBI's taxonomy places the organism in Eukaryota, Metazoa, Chordata, Actinopteri, Perciformes, Serranidae.